GAUGAACGCUGGCGGCGUGCCUAAUGCAUGCAAGUCGAGCGAACGGACGAGAAGCUUGCUUCUCUGAUGUUAGCGGCGGACGGGUGAGUAACACGUGUAUAACCUACCUAUAAGACUGGGAUAACUUCGGGAAACCGGAGCUAAUACCGGAUAAUAUUUUGAACCGCAGGGUUCAAAAGUGAAAGACGGUCUUGCUGUCACUUAUAGAUGGAUCCGCGCUGCAUUAGCUAGUUGGUAAGGUAACGGCUUACCAAGGCAACGAUGCAUAGCCGACCGGAGAGGGUGAUCGGCCACACUGGAACUGAGACACGGUCCAGACUCCUACGGGAGGCAGCAGUAGGGAAUCUUCCGCAAAGGGCGAAAGCCUGACGGAGCAACGCCGCGUGAGUGAUGAAGGUCUUCGGAUCGUAAAACUCUGUUAUUAGGGAAGAACAUAUGUGUAAGUAACUGUGCACAUCUUGACGGUACCUAAUCAGAAAGCCACGGCUAACUACGUG
RNAcentral lists this ribosomal RNA (497 nucleotides) under uncultured bacterium. RNAcentral's name for it is "partial 16S ribosomal RNA". It matches the Rfam family "Bacterial small subunit ribosomal RNA", at positions 28 to 507 of the family's 1533-position model. The record is from RNAcentral.